AAGUCGAGCGGACAGAUGGGAGCUUGCUCCCUGAUGUUAGCGGCGGACGGGUGAGUAACACGUGGGUAACCUGCCUGUAAGACUGGGAUAACUCCGGGAAACCGGGGCUAAUACCGGAUGCUUGUUUGAACCGCAUGGUUCAAACAUAAAAGGUGGCUUCGGCUACCACUUACAGAUGGACCCGCGGCGCAUUAGCUAGUUGGUGAGGUAAUGGCUCACCAAGGCAACGAUGCGUAGCCGACCUGAGAGGGUGAUCGGCCACACUGGGACUGAGACACGGCCCAGACUCCUACGGGAGGCAGCAGUAGGGAAUCUUCCGCAAUGGACGAAAGUCUGACGGAGCAACGCCGCGUGAGUGAUGAAGGUUUUCGGAUCGUAAAGCUCUGUUGUUAGGGAAGAACAAGUACCGUUCGAAUAGGGCGGUACCUUGACGGUACCUAACCAGAAAGCCACGGCUAACUACGUGCCAGCAGCCGCGGUAAUACGUAGGUGGCAAGCGUUGUCCGGAAUUAUUGGGCGUAAAGGGCUCGCAGGCGGUUCCUUAAGUCUGAUGUGAAAGCCCCCGGCUCAACCGGGGAGGGUCAUUGGAAACUGGGGAACUUGAGUGCAGAAGAGGAGAGUGGAAUUCC
This 629-nucleotide ribosomal RNA is filed under the name Bacillus sp. (in: firmicutes). Its description in RNAcentral is "bacterial SSU rRNA". It matches the Rfam family "Bacterial small subunit ribosomal RNA", at positions 59 to 670 of the family's 1533-position model. Lineage: Bacteria; Bacillati; Bacillota; Bacilli; Caryophanales; Bacillaceae. The record is from RNAcentral.